RNAcentral lists this ribosomal RNA (29 nucleotides) under Boeremia lilacis. Its description in RNAcentral is "partial 28S ribosomal RNA". Lineage: Eukaryota; Fungi; Ascomycota; Dothideomycetes; Pleosporales; Didymellaceae. The record is from RNAcentral.
UCUUGACCUCGGAUCAGGUAGGGAUACCC